Molecule: ribosomal RNA, 497 nt
Filed under: uncultured bacterium
Lineage: Bacteria
Description: partial 16S ribosomal RNA
Rfam family: Bacterial small subunit ribosomal RNA
Source: RNAcentral
GAUGAACGCUGGCGGCGUGCCUAAUACAUGCAAGUCGAGCGAACGGACGAGAAGCUUGCUUCUCUGAUGUUAGCGGCGGACGGGUGAGUAACACGUGGAUAACCUACCUAUAAGACUGGGAUAACUCCGGGAAACCGGAGCUAAUACCGGAUAAUAUUUUGAACCGCAUGGUUCAAAAGUGAAAGACGGUCUUGCUGUCACUUAUAGAUGGAUCCGCGCUGCAUUAGCUAGUUGGUAAGGUAACGGCUUACCAAGGCAACGAUGCAUAGCCGACCUGAGAGGGUGAUCGGCCACACUGGAACUGAGACACGGUCCAGACUCCUACGGGAGGCAGCAGUAGGGAAUCUUCCGCAAUGGGCGAAAGCCUGACGGAGCAACGCCGCGUGAGUGAUGAAGGUCUUCGGAUCGUAAAACUCUGUUAUUAGGGAAGAACAUAUGUGUAAGUAACUGUGCACAUCUUGACGGUACCUAAUCAGAAAGCCACGGCUAACUACGUG